CAGCCGCCGCGGUAAGACAGAGGAUGCAAGCGUUAUCCGGAAUGAUUGGGCGUAAAGUGUCUAUAGGUGGCUUUUCAAGUCCGCUGUCAAAUCCCAGGGCUCAACCCUGGACAGGCGGUGGAAACUACCAAGCUAGAGUACGGUAGGGGCAGAGGGAAUUUCCGGUGGAGCGGUGAAAUGCGUUGAGAUCGGAAAGAAUACCAACGGCGAAAGCACUCUGCUGGGCCGACACUGACACUGAGAGACGAAAGCUAGGGGAGCAAAUGGGAUUAGAUACCCCAGUAGUCCCUGUCUCUUAUAA
This 301-nucleotide ribosomal RNA is filed under the name uncultured bacterium. RNAcentral describes it as "partial 16S ribosomal RNA". It matches the Rfam family "Bacterial small subunit ribosomal RNA", at positions 509 to 809 of the family's 1533-position model. The record is from RNAcentral.